Molecule: ribosomal RNA, 503 nt
Filed under: uncultured bacterium
Lineage: Bacteria
Description: bacterial SSU rRNA
Rfam family: Bacterial small subunit ribosomal RNA
Source: RNAcentral
GGCUCAGGAUGAACGCUAGCGGCAGGCUUAACACAUGCAAGUCGAGGGGCAUCGGGAGUAGCAAUACUUGCCGGCGACCGGCGCAAGGGUGCGUAACGCGUGAGCAACAUGCCCGUAUCAGGGGGAUAAUCCAUGGAAACGUGGUCUAAUACCCCAUAGUAAUUAUGUAAGGCAUCUUAUAUAAUUUAAAGCUUUGGUGGAUACGGAUUGGCUCGCGUGACAUUAGCUGGAUGGUAAGGUAACGGCUUACCAUGGCUACGAUGUCUAGGGGUUCUGAGAGGAAGGUCCCCCACACUGGAACUGAGACACGGUCCAGACUCCUACGGGAGGCAGCAGUGAGGAAUAUUGGACAAUGGAUGGAAAUCUGAUCCAGCCAUGCCGCGUGCAAGGAAGACGGCCCUAUGGGUUGUAAACUGCUUUUGUAUGGGAGCAAUAAGGGCUACGUGUAGUCCGAUGAGAGUACCAUACGAAUAAGCACCGGCUAACUCCGUGCCAGCCGCCGC